RNAcentral lists this ribosomal RNA (433 nucleotides) under uncultured bacterium. RNAcentral describes it as "partial 16S ribosomal RNA". It matches the Rfam family "Bacterial small subunit ribosomal RNA", at positions 29 to 507 of the family's 1533-position model. The record is from RNAcentral.
AACGAACGCUGGCGGCAUGCUUAACACAUGCAAGUCGAACGAGACCUUCGGGUCUAGUGGCGCACGGGGGCGUAACGCGUGGGAACCUGCCCUUAGGUUCGGAAUAACUCCCCGAAAGGGGUGCUAAUACCGGAUAAGGUCAUCGGACCAAAGAUUUAUCGCCUUUGGAUGGGCCCGCGUUAGAUUAGCCAGUUGGUAGGGUAAAAGCCUACCAACGCGACGAUCCAUAGCUGGUCUGAGAGGAUGAUAAGCUACACUGGGACUGAGACACGGCCCAGUCUCCUACGGGAGGCAGCAGUGGGGAAUAUUGUACGAUGGGCGAAGACCUGAUCCAGCAAUGCCGCGUGAGUGAUGAAGGCCUUAGUGUUGUAAAGCUCUUUUACCCGGGAUGAUAAUGACAGUACCGGGAGAAUAAGCUCCGGCUAACUCCGUG